AGUGAACGCUGGCGGUAGGCCUAACACAUGCAAGUCGAACGGCAGCACAGUAAGAGCUUGCUCUUACGGGUGGCGAGUGGCGGACGGGUGAGGAAUACAUCGGAAUCUACUUUUUCGUGGGGGAUAACGUAGGGAAACUUACGCCAAUACCGCAUACGACCUACGGGUGAAAGCAGGGGAUCUUCGGACCUUGCGCGAUUGAAUGAGCCGAUGUCGGAUUAGCUAGUUGGCGGGGUAAAGGCCCACCAAGGCGACGAUCCGUAGCUGGUCUGAGAGGAUGAUCAGCCACACUGGAACUGAGACACGGUCCAGACUCCUACGGGAGGCAGCAGUGGGGAAUAUUGGACAAUGGGCGCAAGCCUGAUCCAGCCAUACCGCGUGUGUGAAGAAGGCCUUCGGGUUGUAAAGCCCUUUUGUUGGGAAAGAAAAGCAGCAGGUUAAUACCCCGCUGUUCUGACGGUACCCAAAGAAUAAGCACCGGCUAACUUCGUG
This 492-nucleotide ribosomal RNA is filed under the name uncultured bacterium. Its description in RNAcentral is "partial 16S ribosomal RNA". It matches the Rfam family "Bacterial small subunit ribosomal RNA", at positions 29 to 507 of the family's 1533-position model. The record is from RNAcentral.